AAAAAUUAAAAAAAAAUUAAAAAAUACUGAAAAAUCUUCCCUUCAAUAUACAAACGCAUCCUUUACUGGGAACUAAAAAAAAAUCGACAAUUACUGCUCACAGCUCUCAGCUCCCUGCAAACCAUCUCCCUACACAGGUUUUAGUUCUGCAAAAAUGUCGCGUGUAGACGUGGAAACUUGGAUCCACGGGUGACUGAGCUAGAGCUUAAAGAAGAGUUUUGUGUUUUCGGAGUUAUUUGAAGGGCCUUGCUUUUCAUGACUUUCAGUGGAGGAGAAACUGAAGGCAAUGCGCUGUCAGCUUUGGUGAAAGUGAACAACAGAAAUUGAGUUAGAUGAUGCUGCUCUCAUUUCUAUAGACAACAGAGGAACUGAUGUUUGUGUUCGUCAAGGGGCUCAGUUCAACAUACAGAGGAUAUCGUUUGAAGAAGGGCAUGCUGUUGAGACUCUUGAAGAAGCCAAAUCUGCUCUCCAGCAGUUAAUAAAGAAUUGUCAGAUUUAGAAUUUCCAAAAAUGAACAGAGUGAAAACUUUAUGAUCUAUUAACUAUGGUGACUAUGGCGGCGUUAUAGACAGAGGUUUUCAUAACUCCAAGGGAGGGGCCCUUUACCAAAGAGGAGUUGGAUGAAGUUCGAGACAAGUGGGCUACUUACUUUAACGAUUGUGAACUACCCUCAGUGUAAUAAAUAGAGCAGCAGACUUGUAGUUAUCUGUGACUCUUAUAUUAUUUGUUAUUUAUCGAUUUAAUUAAUUACAUUUGAACUAAUUCGGUAAUAUUAUUGAAAUUUUGAAAUUUAUAUCAUUUUUGAGGAAUGUCAAGAUGAUGUUUGGUGAAACAGUAUUCUAUAAAUUAUAAUGCAGAAUUUUAUAUUGCAAAA
Long non-coding RNA from Spinacia oleracea (spinach), 874 nucleotides. RefSeq lists it as uncharacterized. The transcript has 6 exons. Lineage: Eukaryota; Viridiplantae; Streptophyta; Magnoliopsida; Caryophyllales; Amaranthaceae. The record is from RefSeq and is a predicted model, not a curated record.